GGACAUAUAACUCAGUUUGGUAGAGUAACACGUUGACAUCGUGUAAGUCACUGGUUCAAAUCCAGUUAUGUCCAC
This 75-nucleotide transfer RNA is filed under the name Hommersandiophycus borowitzkae. RNAcentral's name for it is "tRNA-Val". It matches the Rfam family "tRNA". Rfam says of the family: Transfer RNA (tRNA) molecules are approximately 80 nucleotides in length. The record is from RNAcentral. Lineage: Eukaryota; Rhodophyta; Florideophyceae; Nemaliales; Liagoraceae.